Molecule: ribosomal RNA, 729 nt
Filed under: Triticum aestivum (bread wheat)
Lineage: Eukaryota; Viridiplantae; Streptophyta; Magnoliopsida; Poales; Poaceae
Description: partial small subunit ribosomal RNA
Source: RNAcentral
AUGGCUGACGACGGAGCAGCCGCCGGCGUAGACCCCUCUCCUUCCUCUCCCCCUAUCCAUCCGGCGGCACCGGACAACCCGCCCAUCGAUGCCGCAUCCUUCACCCACACCCCGUACUACUGUGAAGAAAAUGUGUACUUGCUAUGUAAGGAACUGAUUAGAGCUGGACUUGCUGAUCCUGCGGGCAAUGACCUUUAUGCUGUUUUCAUAUCAAAUGAGGAAAAGAAGAUUCCCCUCUGGUAUCAGAAAGCAAGUCGUACUAAUGAUGGAUUUGUCUUGUGGGAUUACCAUGUAAUCUGUAUCCAGUCUAGGCGAAACAAAGGAGAUGUUCUUGAUCUUGUUUGGGAUUUGGACUCCAGUCUUCCUUUCCCUUCUCCAUUCCUCCAGUACGUUGCUGAUGCCAUUCAACCACUAGCAUUUGGCGACUCCAUCUAUGCAAGACUUUUCCGUGUAGUUCAUGGUCCGGUAUUUCUUCGAUCAUUUGCAUCAGACAGAAGUCACAUGAAGGACCCCGUGGGGAAUUGGAUUGAGUUACCCCCAAAAUAUGAACCAAUUGUUGCGGAAGAUGGAAGCACAAAUAACCUGAAUGAGUACAUUGCCAUGACUAAUAAUGAUGUCGGAGACCUGGAAAGCAUGGUUAAUGAUGUCUACCACAAGAAACAUGGAGUGGUGAUAAACGAAACGUUGCUCCCCAUGUUCUUCUCCCGGUUGCCUGAAUGGCAUCCUUAA